This is a long non-coding RNA of Pezoporus occidentalis (night parrot), 2794 nucleotides long. RefSeq lists it as uncharacterized. Lineage: Eukaryota; Metazoa; Chordata; Aves; Psittaciformes; Psittacidae. The transcript has 5 exons. The record is from RefSeq and is a predicted model, not a curated record.
GUAAUAGUAUCAGAGAGUCUAGUUUUUAACUGGGGUGGGAAACAAGGCUUCUGCUGUGGAGAACUGAGCGAUUGAAGAACAGUGUGUUCAAGUCACUACUUUUACUGUCAUUUAGCUGUGUCAGUCUACUGGAAUAUAUCCUGAAGGGAAAGGUGGCUGCAGCACUAAACUUCACCUCUGGAAAGAUACUUGGCACCUGGGGCUUGAAUUAACAGGGAGGGACCUGUAUUUUUGUACUGAAAGAGCUUUUUUCUCUUGCUCCUAUCUCUACUGAAACCAUUCUGUGCUUAACAGUUACAAAUAAGGCUCUCCUUCAGUUUAUAGAAGUGAGUAUCUUGAGACAAACAAAUCCCCUUGUGUUUGAUACCUUGGGAACAUGACAGCAGCCUUACAACAGGCAGGAACCUGUUUGCUGGCAUUAUGAUGAUCACUCUUUGCCGUUUACCCAGCUGAAAUGUGUGAUGAGCAGUGUUGUAUCUGAGGUGCCAGCUAACUAGGAGGGUUUUCCCAGUUUAAUUUGCUACCACCAGUUCUGAUUUUAUUCAUCAUUUUAAAGGUGCUGUGACAUCACAUGACCUCCACUGUCUCCAAAACCUGCGUAUGCACAUACAGGCAACAGCAGACUCCAUCCACCUCUAGAAGAAUGGGUUUUUAAGGUGCUUGAACACAGCAGCCUGAAAUUUGGAGUCCUAAUGAGCUUGGAAAUGCUUUCCUGGCCCUUCCUGUUCCUCGGAAAUACGGCUUGAUUCAACAGGAAAGAAAGGGAGCAGCUGUUCUGUGAACAAUCUUCAAAUUAUGUUCAGGGAGUUUUCAUCAUUGAGGUCAAAUGGAAACAGAGGAUUUGGUGCUAUGCAUAAUGCAGACUUGCCUAAGCAAAGAAGAAAGAAUUGUGCUAAAAGAUGUGAUAAACUUUUGCCAGACCUUCCAUCUGAAGGGGAAAAAAAGCUGUGACACAGAUUACUUAAAUGGUAACAUAGAAGAUUGUGUUAUGGAGUGUUACAUAGCAUGAGAUUACCUGACUGUAGAAGUUCAAGUUUAUCCUUUUUAUAUGAAGCCAGGUCUCCUAUGUAGCAGAUACCACCCUUGGCCAGCACAGCACUGCAAGCUUGAAUACUAGCGCUUCCAGUUCCGUGUUUGUCUUUGGACACAGAAGGGAAAAUGUCACUGUAAGGCUGACCACAAGAUGGCAGUAGCUCCUACGGCACAUUCGCAAGCAGAAAAGCCUGGGGCGGCUUUCUGAGCGGUGGGACGGAAGCCACUGCCGCCUCUGCCUCGCCUGGAAAUGCCAUGGAAAAACGGAUAUUCAUUACGAAAGGUACGUGCCCUCAUAAAGGCAUCACUAUGAUUUAUUCUGCAGUCUCCUAACUUCGGGAUUUGGCUUUUCUUUUAUUAUUCAUGGUCUAUGUUACAGGAAGAAGCAGACAAAACAGCCUUAAAAGUCCUUAAGGCCUAAUCCUGCAACGAUGGAGGCAGUUCAGUAAUAUUACUGAAAGAAGUUGUUCCACUGAAGUGAGCUACUUAUUAAAACAAACUUGUUCUACACUAGCAGUUUUUGCCAGUCAUUUAAGGAUACUGUUCUACAGUGUACAAAUACACACAGAAACACAGUUUCCAAGGGAAAAAAGUAUUCUGCUAGCUUAGCUUUUUUCUUUCAGUUUAUAUGAGAAAAUAUGUAUGCCAAUAUAAUUUAAUAAAUUAUCUUCAUCAUUAGGAAAAUGGAUUGCUGGCAUUGCUGUGCUUCCAAAACAUUUAAUAAUGCUGAGCAACCACUGGCAGGGUCCACUGCUUUCAAUUAACAGAAAUCAUACUGUGCUCGUUACAAAAAUAUAUGCAUAAUAAGACUGCAUAGAAAAAUGCCUUUGUCAUGCUGGGGUUUUAGCUCUUAAAUUAUCAAAAUUAUUAUAAAGCUUCUGAAAUAGUACCAAUUUUUUUUUAUUACCUUUAGAAAAUUGGCAGGUUUCCUCAGUACAAAGAAAUCUUGCUCCUUGUGUAUAUUUCGUUACAAUUCCCAUUGCAAUUGCUAUUCCUUCAGACAUAUAAAAUCUUUGAGAUGUGUAAUUAAAGGGAAAUGCAGCAAGAUUCAGAACAUAACUUGGUAAAGGUGGCAAAUGGGUUGGUUUCAGCAAUAUACUGAUCUAACAAGAGACACAAUCACAUUAAUACCAUCAAAAUAUUUGUUUGUUUGUUUUAAACCCACUUUACUUACAUGGACAAGCAUACAAUGUGAUAUAUGGCAAUUAGAAAAAUCAGAAAUGCAUGAGGUUUCAUAUUAAUUAUCUCUAAAUUCUUGCGAUAGGGUUGGGUGAGAUUUCCAGCUAUUUUUAAUUACAACUAAUACUACAAUCCAAGGGAAAAACGCUAAAUGAAAAGUUAAUGUAAAAAUAAUACUAGUUAAUACUUCACCAUGCUUGAAAGAUUUAAAAUCUAAAUGGAGGAAAACUGCAGCCUCACCUGGGCCUCUGUCUGCAGUUGUUCAAUUAUUGAUAAUGUCUUAAUAGCUAUGAAGCACACCUGUGAUUGACAAAUCGUGUCAUUUUAGAAAGGAAAAUCUAGUUAAAAUGUAGAAGAUGUACUUUUGUCUACUCUUGUCUAUCAGUCUGUACUUACUGACUGAAAAAUCUGUGCAGCUUGUAUGGGAUUAUGAAGAAUAUAGUUUCCAAGAGUUGCAUCUAAUUCAGCAAUAUCAGAAGGGUUUAUUGAAAUAAUGAAACGAUAAACAGCAUAACUUUGUUUUGAGUCUGUAGGAGCAAAAAGUAUCUCAAAUAAAAAACAACAGAAGACUUAUGUAACAUUA